UUUUACUGACACCCUGCGGCGGGUACAAUCCCCUAAUCAGCGCACACCAGAUAAGACAUACAGCGAUCGAGAGAGAGAUCGAGAGAAAGAGAGAGGGAAAAAGGUUAAAGAUUGUGUGAGUUCAAGUCUUGUACAAAGAGGUCAAUUCCAGCAUGCCUACAGUUUAUAGCUGCACAUAUGGAUUUGAUCUCUGCUGGUUGUUCUCUCGGCC
Silurus meridionalis is the source of this 211-nucleotide long non-coding RNA. RefSeq lists it as uncharacterized. The record is from RefSeq and is a predicted model, not a curated record. The transcript is spliced from 3 exons. NCBI's taxonomy places the organism in Eukaryota, Metazoa, Chordata, Actinopteri, Siluriformes, Siluridae.